Molecule: long non-coding RNA, 4532 nt
Organism: Mercurialis annua (annual mercury)
Lineage: Eukaryota; Viridiplantae; Streptophyta; Magnoliopsida; Malpighiales; Euphorbiaceae
Exons: 6
Source: RefSeq, a predicted model, not a curated record
AUUUCCAGAAUUGAGUAGAGAUAGGCUUCAUCUUCAUCUCCUUCCUCCUACUUCAUGUCAAAAAUUCAAAUCCACCUACAAGCUUCGUUUCUCGUCCGAUUCGCGUGAUUCUUGCGGCAACGGAACGAGAGAGAGAUUCUCUACUGAUCUAACUCAUCAAUUUAAGCUUGUAGAUUCUUCGUUUGAUAUCGGAAUUGGGCGAUUUUUGCGGCGUUGGAACGAGGGAAGAAUUUCCUACUGAUCUAGACUAACAUCUGAAGACUUGACGAGGCGACUACCAAUGGAACCCGGAACUUACAAAACGCGACAUCGCUAAACUAUUAUCGAAGGUUAUGGAUAGCAAGCGUGUGUUUUUCAGGUGCCUAGAUUCUAGACGUGGCUAGAAGUCCGUCUUUGACCAGAGGUUCCUUUGGGCUAUGUUCAGUCCCGACUUUCGUAGUUGCUGCAGUAGUGUGAUUCUGACCGGUGUCGUGGCCUAGCAUAUUAACAUGUUUUCAUGAUGUCUAUAGUUGUUGUCAUUAAAUAUACGCUUUGUUGGCUACGAUUAUUGUAUUUGUUCCACGGAGGUAGAUACCCGUGAAGUGACUUUGACACUAGUAGUUUAUGCCGGGCUAGUACGUACCUGAUACGGAAACGAUAAGCCCGAGCAAGUUGUAAGACUUUACUAGUGUAUAUAAAUGUAUCUUUGUUUUGUUAAAUGCUUCCGUUUGUAAGGUCAAGGUUUAUAUGAUAAUUGCGAAAAAGUUUUAGUAAAUUUCAGGCUUGUUACGGGUUUCGGAACUACAAUUCCCAUUCCCUAGCGCCGGUCGCGGCUCGAGAAAUCGGGUCGUGACAUUUUCGUCCUCAUGGAAUUUAGCGAGCGCCGCCACAAAGAUUAGGGGAUUUACUGAUUGUUUUUAAAUAUAAAUGGGGUUUGUUGUAAGGCACCCCAAAAAUUAGGGGCCGUGGCAGAUUAUUAGCCUAUUUGAAAAGGUGGUGUUAUUGUAGGUAAAUUGUGUACAAAAUACGGGCAAUCAAGUAGUUUGGCGAAAAACAAAGCAACAUAUCGAAUUUUUUGGGGCUACUCGAGUUUAUUUCUACCUAGAGCUAAAAUAUUUUGGGGUUAACUGCUGGUUAAUUUCGGAUCAUUAUUCAAACAUUUUUCUAUAAAUUUGUUGAUAUGUAGAGUAAAAUUUUACUUUAAAUUUGUACAUAAUUUGUUUGUUGCCAUUAGAAAUUUUGACGCUCAAUUUUGAGAUAUUUUAAUUUUUUUAAUUAAUAAAAACUAACCAAACUAUAAAAAUAUGAUAAUACAAAAUAAAAAAAUUGUACAGUUUUCCCUUUUCAGAAAAUAAAAAAUGCAUGGACUAAAUCUCUACAUAUAAAAGUAUAAGGAUCUAAAGUCAAAUAAAUAAAAAUAGAGGGACUUUAGAAUGAGUUAUGCCACGAACACAAGAGAAAUCAAAACGACAUGGUGUACAACAGCCGAGUCAUAUACAUAUAAAUUCCUUUUCGAUUCAAAAAGAAGAGCUUUCAGUUCCUGCUCUGGCGCCAUAACCAGGUUAGCUCUUUUCAAUUCUUAGGGAUCCACUUUAUUUUAUAGUUAUGAAAAUCUAUUAUAACCACAACAUUAUUUGUCAGUUCAUCUUGUAAUAAUCUAAUAAUUUUUGAUGAUUGAUGGGAGCGUUUGUGGGAGAAAUUGAAUCCACGACAUCAAGGGCGGACCUAGGAAGAGCAUAUGGUGGUCAACUGCUCAUCUUAUAAUUUUGAGUCCUUUAAAAAACGUUAACAUGGAAUUGAAAAAUAUAAUUUUUUCACCUUAAAUUAUAUAGUUUGUCCACCUUAAAAUAUAUUUGUUGUCAAUUUUACUCAUCUUAUAAAAUUUCAAUAUAAUUUUGACCACCUUAUAAAAUAUUUUUGGGUCGGCCACUGCACGACAUAACAGUUUGCUGCACAACGCUUAUACCAUUUCUAUAGCUCAUUGGUAUUUAUGUUAUUCUUACUGGUGCUUGUUACGACCAUCUUUUAUUCUUGACCUUAAUUACACUGCAGCAUAAAUGUUUCAUAAUUCCAGACCUUAAUUUCUUCUGUUGCUAACUUCCAUUAUUGCUUCCGAAAAUAUAUGGUUCAUGUUUAUGCAGCCGAGAAAUGCUAUGCGACACGAAGUGGUAUAGCCUCGAAUGGCACGAAUUCCAUAUAUUGUUAUAUAUAGAGAGAAUAUAAUACAGAUCAUAAUACUUUUAAACAUUGUGAUUACAUAGAAAUGUUGAUCAUAGUCUUAAUCUUGAAGGGGCUUCAAGGUUAUAGGCAACCCACUCCUCAGUCUGGGCACAUGCGUAGUCUUUUCAAGGCUUGGGUCUCUAUCUACAAUUGUCCACCUUUCAUGAAAUAAUACAAUUAAUUUAUUAAUAAAUAAUUAAACUCUGCACGGCUCAGACAAAACAUACGCAUACUAUUUGAUUUGAUUUGAUCGGUUUAAUUGAUAAUUUUUAUGUGCAUUAUGAAUGAAGUAUAAUAUAGCAAGAGGAUACUUACUGGUAUUGGCUGGUGAGCCUGUAUAAAAACACCAACAUAGACAAUCUUGCCAUUUCUAUUCCUAAGCAAGUCCUCGGUCCAGCUCCAAAAGGUAUGAAACUGUAUGGUUUUUGUAGUUCCUGGAUCCAAAAUUAACAACUCUUAAUUUAAUUAUCUCAUUAUAUAUAAAGAAGAAAAGUGAACUAAUAAACAAGAAACAUUACAUCAAAUCUUGAAGGGUUGAACUGCAAAGGAUCCUUGUACAAUGUUGGAUCAAAAUGAAUGUAAGUUGCAUCCACAUUUACAUUCCAUCCUUUCUUUAUCUCAUAAACUGAACACAUUUAUUAUGUCAAUAAUUGAAAUUGAACUAAAGUUUAUGUCAAAAUUAAAAGUUUUGAUUAAAUUUAUUAAAAGUUGAGAAGAUUUGAACUUUUAUAUCCUCUCGAAGAAAGUAAAUAGUACCGUCGAGUGUGCAAUCAUUUUGUGCAACUCGGGGAAACCACAGCACAACAUUUGACAUUCUCAAUGAUUCUUUGACAACCUGCACAGUUAUUGUUUUUUUUUUGUGUGUGUUCUUCAAAAUGUCAACAACGCAUAUUACGUUUUCUGAUGAAACAUCGAUCAAUUAACUUAAAACUCAUGGUCUAACCUUGUAACAAUAGGACAUCUUGUUUAAAUCUUCUAUAGAAACUGUAUUUCCUUGCAAAAUUUGAGUAAUCUCCAACUGUUCCUCCUGUAAAUUCAUAAAAAAUGUCAGGCUUAUAAUCAUUUAAAGACUUUUUUUUAUAUAUUUGUUGAUCUGUACAAAUAAAUCAUACUCUAAGCUUGUGAAGGACUUGUUUGUUGUCAUCCAGGAAUUUGACACUCCACAUCAUGGACGCUGCAGAGCUAACUUGUCCUGAAACGAGUAAUGUUAACAGAUUAUCCAUAAUCUCCGAGUCAUCAAGCUUUUCAUUUGAUGAGUUUGAAUCUUUUUCUAACAGACUCUGCAGGAAGUCAUCUUUAUACUCUUCCCCGUUCCGCCGUCUAGCAAUCAUCUUUUCAAAUAUUUUCAUUAGCCUUUCCCUUGCCUGUCACCAUUUUUUUGAUCAACUAUUUAUAUAAUGUUUCUGUCACAGGAAAGGUAAAUACUGAAACGAAAAAAGUUGAGGCAGAAAAUGCAAAAUAACAUUUGUUUACAAGGAUUGUUAUAAAUAAUAUACGGUUUUGUAGUUUUAGAAGCGCUCCCAAAAAUAUAGGACUGGAUAAGUUCUCGAACAAAUUGACAGUAAUUCGAACAGACUCUGAGCAUUUACAAGAUAGGACUAAUUUGAAAAAAUAUAAGAGGUAUAAUGUUUAGUUUACUUACUUUCAUGCCUUUGUAGUAGGUAGAGCCAGGAAUCAUGAGAGGAACAGAUAACAAGGCAUCAGAAACCGCAGCACAGUCUCUGAGUAUCUGCUGCAAUAAGGAUUCUUCUGUAAUGCUCAUCAGCAUAUCACACAUUGAAUCUAAAGUGAGCUGCUUAAAGAGAUCAUGAAGCAUUAAUUAGUUUCUGAAUAGAGUCAUAACUUCUAUGCUAGAGAUUACAACUUUGCAGGAGAUACAAUCACUUGAUUCAACAACAAUUAACAGGAAAUUUAGAAUAGAACAUGAGUUACCUUCAUGGUGAAGUCAAGAACAGCAAAGGUUUUUCCACUUUCUUGUAAAUUCUUCAGUCUGAGACAGAGCAUGUGAUCAAAUUUUUGGACAAAUUUGGAUAAACAAGGCAUGGAGAAAAGCGCAGACAGAACGUGUCUAAUCCUUUUAUGACUCUCAAGAGCUUCUGUAGUCGGAACAAAUACAUGGAUCUUCCCGAACAUUCUUGUCUUGAACCAUUUUCCAUACCUGUUUGAUAAAGAUUCAAGUAAUCAAGUUAGUAGCAGAAAGAAAAGAAAAGGUUUCACCAACAAAAGGUAAGCCAAGGCCACCAGGAAUGUUGUCUUGUGAACUCAUCUUUUUUCUCCAAGCUUUUCUCAAGACUGCAAAUACCGCUAUUGUUAAGAAUGCAACCAUCAUAAUA